UACGUAGGGUGCGAGCGUUAAUCGGAAUUACUGGGCGUAAAGCGUGCGCAGGCGGUUUUGUAAGCCAGAUGUGAAAGCCCCGGGCUCAACCUGGGAAUGGCAUUUGGGACUGCAAGGCUUGAGUGCGGCAGAGGAGACUGGAAUUCCUGGUGUAGCAGUGAAAUGCGUAGAUAUCGGGAAGAACACCCGUGGCGAAGGCGGCUCUCUGGGACGGUACUGACGCUGAGACGCGAAAGCGUGGGGAGCGAACAGG
RNAcentral lists this ribosomal RNA (253 nucleotides) under uncultured bacterium. RNAcentral's name for it is "partial 16S ribosomal RNA". It matches the Rfam family "Bacterial small subunit ribosomal RNA", at positions 524 to 776 of the family's 1533-position model. The record is from RNAcentral.